This 1960-nucleotide ribosomal RNA is filed under the name Lacticaseibacillus rhamnosus. Its description in RNAcentral is "partial 23S ribosomal RNA". It matches the Rfam family "Bacterial large subunit ribosomal RNA", at positions 1 to 1983 of the family's 2925-position model. Lineage: Bacteria; Bacillati; Bacillota; Bacilli; Lactobacillales; Lactobacillaceae. The record is from RNAcentral.
GGUUAAGUUAAUAAGGGCGCACGGUGGAUGCCUUGGCACUAGAAGCCGAAGAAGGACGUGACAAACGACGAAAUGCUUUGGGGAACUGUAAGUAAGCGCUGAUCCAGAGAUGUCCGAAUGGGGGAACCCACUAACUAAUGGUUAGUAUCCAUAACUGUUAAGGUUAUGAGAAGGAAGACGCAGUGAACUGAAACAUCUAAGUAGCUGCAGGAAGAGAAAGCAAACGCGAUUGCCUUAGUAGCGGCGAGCGAAACGGCAGGAGGGCAAACCGAAGUGUUUACACUUCGGGGUUGUAGGACUGCGACGUGGGACUUUAAAAGGAUAGAAGAAUUACCUGGGAAGGUAAGCCAAAGAGAGUAAAAGCCUCGUAUUUAAAAUUCUUUUGAGCCCUAGCAGUAUCCUGAGUACGGCGAGACACGUGAAAUCUCGUUGGAAUCUGGGAGGACCAUCUCCCAACCCUAAAUACUCUCUAGUGACCGAUAGUGAACCAGUACCGUGAGGGAAAGGUGAAAAGCACCCCGGGAGGGGAGUGAAAUAGAACCUGAAACCGUGUGCCUACAACAAGUUCGAGCCCGUUAAUGGGUGAGAGCGUGCCUUUUGUAGAAUGAACCGGCGAGUUACGAUAUGAUGCGAGGUUAAGUUGAAGAGACGGAGCCGUAGGGAAACCGAGUCUUAAUAGGGCGAUUUAGUAUCAUGUUGUAGACCCGAAACCAUGUGACCUACCCAUGAGCAGGUUGAAGGUGAGGUAAAACUCACUGGAGGACCGAACCAGGGCACGUUGAAAAGUGCUUGGAUGACUUGUGGGUAGCGGAGAAAUUCCAAACGAACUUGGAGAUAGCUGGUUCUCUCCGAAAUAGCUUUAGGGCUAGCGUCGAUGUUAAGUCUCUUGGAGGUAGAGCACUGUUUGGGUGAGGGGUCCAUCUCGGAUUACCAAUCUCAGAUAAACUCCGAAUGCCAACGAGAUAUCAUCGGCAGUCAGACUGCGAGUGCUAAGAUCCGUAGUCGAAAGGGAAACAGCCCAGACCACCAGCUAAGGUCCCAAAAUAACUGUUAAGUGGAAAAGGAUGUGGGGUUGCACAGACAACUAGGAUGUUAGCUUAGAAGCAGCUAUUCAUUCAAAGAGUGCGUAAUAGCUCACUAGUCGAGUGACCCUGCGCCGAAAAUGUACCGGGGCUAAAACAGUUUACCGAAGCUGUGGAUGACACAAAAGUGUCAUGGUAGGAGAGCGUUCUAUGUGUGAAGAAGGUGUACCGUGAGGAGCGCUGGAACGCAUAGAAGUGAGAAUGCCGGUAUGAGUAGCGAAAGACAGGUGAGAAUCCUGUCCACCGUAAGACUAAGGUUUCCAGGGGAAGGCUCGUCCGCCCUGGGUUAGUCGGGACCUAAGGAGAGACCGAAAGGUGUAUCCGAUGGCCAACAGGUUGAUAUUCCUGUACUAGAGUAUAUAGUGAUGGAGGGACGCAGUAGGCUAACUAAACCGGACGAUUGGAAGAGUCCGGCUAAGCAGUGAGGUGUAAGAUGAGUCAAAUGCUUAUCUUUAUAACAUUGAGCUGUGAUGGGGAGCGAAUUUUAGUAGCGAAGUUAGUGAUGUCACACUGCCAAGAAAAGCUUCUAGCGUUUAAUGAUACUCUACCCGUACCGCAAACCGACACAGGUAGUCGAGGCGAGUAGCCUCAGGUGAUCGAGAGAACUCUCGUUAAGGAACUCGGCAAAAUGACCCCGUAACUUCGGGAGAAGGGGUGCUGACUUAGGUCAGCCGCAGUGAAUAGGCCCAAGCAACUGUUUAUCAAAAACACAGCUCUCUGCUAAAUCGUAAGAUGAUGUAUAGGGGGUGACGCCUGCCCGGUGCUGGAAGGUUAAGAGGAGGGUUUAGCGCAAGCGAAGAUCUGAAUUGAAGCCCCAGUAAACGGCGGCCGUAACUAUAACGGUCCUAAGGUAGCGAAAUUCCUUGUCGGGUAAGUUC